UUCACCCGUAGCUCAAUGGUGGAGCGUCUGACUGUUAAUCAGAAGGUUGCAGGUUCGAGUCCUGCCGGGUGAGU
This 74-nucleotide transfer RNA is filed under the name Bacillus sonorensis. Its description in RNAcentral is "tRNA-Asn". It matches the Rfam family "tRNA". From Rfam's summary of the family: Transfer RNA (tRNA) molecules are approximately 80 nucleotides in length. Their secondary structure includes four short double-helical elements and three loops (D, anti-codon, and T loops). Lineage: Bacteria; Bacillati; Bacillota; Bacilli; Caryophanales; Bacillaceae. The record is from RNAcentral.